Molecule: long non-coding RNA, 337 nt
Filed under: Aquilegia coerulea
Lineage: Eukaryota; Viridiplantae; Streptophyta; Magnoliopsida; Ranunculales; Ranunculaceae
Description: long non-coding RNA (ACOE_LNC001204)
Source: RNAcentral
CCCUGAAGAUACUCUCAAGGAAUUUCUAUCUAAAAAUCCUAACAAUUCCUUUUCAAUGAGUUUUGGGAAUUCUGCAGCUCUUGCUUAUGUUAGACCAGAUCGACCUUUUCCCAUUAACCAAAGGUAUGUUUAAACUGUGAUCUAAAAGAUAGUUUAAUUAUGAUGUGCUACUUUUGAUAUAUUAUAUACUUCUAUGAAUGUGUUAUGUGUAUUAAAUGAAAGUGUCACAUUAUUUUUUUUUUCAAAAUUUGGGAUCAAUGUUUUGUACUAGGUCAUGUUAAAAUUUAGUACAUUAAUUUAACAGAUCAGUCUAUUUAUUUAAUUUUGAUGCAUGAUG